This 76-nucleotide transfer RNA is filed under the name Clostridium thermosuccinogenes. Its description in RNAcentral is "Pseudoclostridium thermosuccinogenes tRNA-Pro". It matches the Rfam family "tRNA". From Rfam's summary of the family: Transfer RNA (tRNA) molecules are approximately 80 nucleotides in length. Their secondary structure includes four short double-helical elements and three loops (D, anti-codon, and T loops). Lineage: Bacteria; Bacillati; Bacillota; Clostridia; Eubacteriales; Clostridiaceae. The record is from RNAcentral.
CGGGGUGUGGCUCAGAUGGUAGAGCGCGACGUUCGGGACGUUGAGGCCGCUGGUUCAAGUCCAGUCACUCCGACCA